GGGGGGAGUCCGGUUCCUGGGCUGUGUCCCCCGUGCCCUGUGCUCCCGGGGCCUGGCUGUUGGAUUCGUGCUCCCCGCAGGGCAGCCCCCU
Molecule: microRNA precursor, 91 nt
Filed under: Canis lupus familiaris (dog)
Lineage: Eukaryota; Metazoa; Chordata; Mammalia; Carnivora; Canidae
Also listed under: 1 other name
Description: mir-8799 microRNA precursor family
Rfam family: mir-8799 microRNA precursor family
Source: Rfam by way of RNAcentral